Molecule: unclassified non-coding RNA, 316 nt
Filed under: uncultured fungus
Lineage: Eukaryota; Fungi
Description: partial contains 5.8S ribosomal RNA and internal transcribed spacer 2
Source: RNAcentral
UCAGGGGGUAACCCUAUUUGAUUCGAGGUCAUCAAUUCUUGUAUUGGUGUAUUGGCAACUUAUGUAUUCAUGUUAUAACAAGAUAUUUCUGUCAUGCUACGACUUGAAUACCAAGUGCCCAAGAGUUUUGAACGUUUCUCAAGAGAAAUCGCUCAUCACCAAGCAGAGCUUGAAGUAUGAAAACGACGCUCGAACAAAUAUGCCUCCUGGAAUACCAGAAGGCGCAAUAUGCGUUCAAAGAUUCGAUGAUUCACUGAAUUCUGCAAUUCACAUUACUUAUCGCAUUUCGCUGCGUUCUUCAUCNAUGCCAGAACCA